Molecule: ribosomal RNA, 467 nt
Filed under: uncultured bacterium
Lineage: Bacteria
Description: partial 16S ribosomal RNA
Rfam family: Bacterial small subunit ribosomal RNA
Source: RNAcentral
GACGAACGCUGGCGGCGUGCUUAACACAUGCAAGUCGAACGGUGAAGCUCCAGCUUGCUGGAGUGGAUCAGUGGCGAUCGGGUGAGUAACACGUGAGCAACCUGCCCCUGACUCUGGAAUAAGCGCUGGAAACGGCGUCUAAUACUGGAUACGAGAAGGGUCCGCAUGGGCACUUUCUGGAAAGUUUGUCGGUUGGGGAUGGGCUCGCGGCCUAUCAGCUUGUUGGUGAGGUAAUGGCUCACCAAGGCGACGACGGGUAGCCGGCCUGAGAGGGCGACCGGCCACACUGGGCCUGGGGCACGGCCCAGACUCCUACGGGAGGCAGCAGUGGGGAAUAUUGCACAAUGGGCGAAAGCCUGAUGCAGCGACGCCGCGUGGGGGAUGACGGCCUUCGGGUUGUAAACCUCUUUCAGCAGGGAAGAAGCGAAAGGGACGGUACCUGCAGAAGAAGCACCGGCUAACUACGU